CUGCCAUAUCAAGUUGGCAUACCGUUUCUCGUACGAAUCACUGAAGUUAAGCAACGUUGAGUCUGGUCAGUACUCAGACGGGUGACCGAUUAGGAAUAUCAGGUGCUGUAA
Non-coding RNA from Acanthosepion pharaonis, 111 nucleotides. Lineage: Eukaryota; Metazoa; Mollusca; Cephalopoda; Sepiida; Sepiidae. The record is from the annotation of a GenBank genome assembly.